CCUACGGGAGGCAGCAGUGGGGAAUAUUGGGCAAUGGGCGCAAGCCUGACCCAGCAACGCCGCGUGAAGGAAGAAGGCUUUCGGGUUGUAAACUUCUUUUCUCAGGGACGAAGCAAGUGACGGCACCUGAGGAAUAAGCCACGGCUAACUACGUGCCAGCAGCCGCGGUAAUACGUAGGUGGCAAGCGUUAUCCGGAUUCACUGGGUGUAAAGGGAGCGUAGACGGCCAAGCAAGCCAGGGGUGAAAGCCCGGGGCCCAACCCCGGGACUGCCCUUGGAACUGCAUGGCUGGAGUGCGGGAGGGGCAGGCGGAAUUCCUGGUGUAGCGGUGAAAUGCGUAGAUAUCAGGAGGAAUACUCAUUGCGAAGGCGACCUGCUAGAACAUAACUGACGCUGAUGCGCGAAAGCGUGGGGAGCAAACAGGAUUAGAUACCCGGGUAGUC
This 443-nucleotide ribosomal RNA is filed under the name uncultured bacterium. Its description in RNAcentral is "partial 16S ribosomal RNA". It matches the Rfam family "Bacterial small subunit ribosomal RNA", at positions 338 to 795 of the family's 1533-position model. The record is from RNAcentral.